This 503-nucleotide ribosomal RNA is filed under the name uncultured Steroidobacter sp. RNAcentral's name for it is "bacterial SSU rRNA". It matches the Rfam family "Bacterial small subunit ribosomal RNA", at positions 384 to 877 of the family's 1533-position model. The record is from RNAcentral. Lineage: Bacteria; Pseudomonadati; Pseudomonadota; Gammaproteobacteria; Steroidobacterales; Steroidobacteraceae.
UGAUCCAGCGACGCCGCGUGAGUGAUGAAGGCCUGCGGGUUGUAAAGCUCUUUCGGUGGGGACGAUAAGCCUCGAGCUAAUACCUCGGGGUCUUGACGUCUCCCAUGCCAACAAGCACCGGCUAACUCUGUGCCAGCAGCCGCGGUAAUACUUAGGGUGCGAGCGUUAAUCGGAAUUACUGGGCGUAAAGCGCGCGUAGGCCGCUUUGCAAGUCUGGUGUGAAAUCCCCAGGCUUAACCUGGGAACUGCAUUCGAGACUGCAUUGCUUGAGUAUGGGAGAGGGAAGUGGAAUUUCCUGUGUAGCGGUGAAAUGCGUAAAUGUCGGAAGGAACAUCAGUGGCGAAAGCGACUUCCUGGACCAAUACUGACGCUCAUGUGCGAAAUACGUGGGGAGCAAACAGGAUUAGAUACCCUGGUAGUCCACGCCAUAAACGAUGAGAACUGGAUGUCGGGAGGGUCUGCCUCUCGCUGUCUUAGCUAAACCGUUAAAUUCUCCGCCUGGG